GAUGAACGCUGGCGGCGUGCCUAAUACAUGCAAGUCGAGCGAACAGACGAGGAGCUUGCUCCUCUGACGUUAGCGGCGGACGGGUGAGUAACACGUGGAUAACCUACCUAUAAGACUGGGAUAACUUCGGGAAACCGGAGCUAAUACCGGAUAAUAUAUUGAACCGCAUGGUUCAAUAGUGAAAGACGGUUUUGCUGUCACUUAUAGAUGGAUCCGCGCCGCAUUAGCUAGUUGGUAAGGUAACGGCUUACCAAGGCAACGAUGCGUAGCCGACCUGAGAGGGUGAUCGGCCACACUGGAACUGAGCCACGGUCCAGACUCCUACGGGAGGCAGCAGUAGGGAAUCUUCCGCAAUGGGCGAAAGCUUGACGGAGAAACGCCGCGUGAGUGAUGAAGGUCUUCGGAUCGGAAAACUCUGUUAUUAGGGAAGAACAAAUGUGUAAGUAACUAUGCACGUCUUGACGGUACCUAAUCAGAAAGCCACGGCUAACUACGUG
This 497-nucleotide ribosomal RNA is filed under the name uncultured bacterium. RNAcentral describes it as "partial 16S ribosomal RNA". It matches the Rfam family "Bacterial small subunit ribosomal RNA", at positions 28 to 507 of the family's 1533-position model. The record is from RNAcentral.